Long non-coding RNA from Homo sapiens (human), 1341 nucleotides. Ensembl annotates it as cancer susceptibility 15. Its record names the gene CASC15. The record is from Ensembl. Lineage: Eukaryota; Metazoa; Chordata; Mammalia; Primates; Hominidae.
ACUAUUCAAAAAAGGAUGCAAUGGAGAACAUUUACAGAGGACUGUGGGUAAAGCAAAGUCUUCAAGGGAAGAUAACAAAGGAUGAAACAAUGGUGUUGUGUGACUUCCUAGUGUGAAUCAUGGCAAUACAGUGAAAGACAGUGAUUUACUGCUUUUGAGGGCGUGCAUGUAUAUGAUUAACGGAUGGAAGUGCAGGACUCCAAGAUUUACUUCCUUCCCUUUCCAGCAGAAUUACCUGAGACGAGGUUCAAAUGAACAAAUCGAAUUGUCUGUUAUCCUAAGAAAUGCUAAAUUGUCCAGAAUAGACCUGCAUUAACAAAGUGUAAAGUGAAACAAGAGACCAGUUGGCAGAGAGAGAAAAGAGAGAGAUUUCGACUAAAGCCUAGAAGAAUAGGUAAUGAAUGACUACUCAGAAAGAAGGUAAAAUCUACUGGUGGAGUCACUCCAUUAUUCUUAUCUGUGGAGAUCUAGAUCUUGAUUUGAAAGUUUCUGAGAAAAUCUUCAGCUCAGACUUGAGGGUCAACUUUACCAGCUGAAGGAUCUGCAUUUACUGCUCAACCACAUCUAAUUUGAUGUCCUCUGCAGAUUUAAAAUGUGUGCCUUCUUUUCCGUCACCAAGUCAUCCCUGGGUUACUACUGAACAUCCUUCUCAAUUCCCCCCGACCCAUGGAUGGCUGUUCUCCAUUGUCUGUUUCACCAGAUGUCCUCAAAACAAACAGACAGAAGAAGGAAGUGGCUAAUGGAGCUGUGGAGUCCAAGUGUGACUGCCAAGAGGAAUCCAGCAAAGCCAAAAAGCCCAAGCAUGUAGCCCUGCCCGAAGCACGCCACACGCAUGGAAAACCCAGAGGAAAUGAGUGAGGAUCAAUGGGAAGAAGAGAGCCAGCCAGGAAGUUGAAGAUUUGUCCAGGAGCAGAUAGCUGAAGAGAGAGAGAGAGAAGAGAGAACGGCUUACAGCUCAGGUCCUCUCUCCAUGCUUAGGAACCACUACAAAUGCUACUGCCUUGAGUCUCAUUUUGUUUCCCUCUGGAAACCACAUGUGUACCUUGUUUGCAACAGUAUGGUUCUGGAGACCAGAAGGCCAAAAUCAAAAGUAUGGGCAGGCUUGAUUUCUUUAGAAGACUCCAGCGGAGAACUGUGUCUCCUUGCUUCUGAUUCUACAUCUCCAUCCAUGGGCCACUGUUUCAGCAACCUCAGCCAGUGCAACACAACCUCAGCCAAGAAGAGUAUGCAGAGAAAGGAGUCCCCUACCUGCCACAAAACUGUUGUCUGAAAACUGUCUCAUAUUGUCUCAAGUUGUCAUUCAUUGUGAAUUAGACCUGUUUAACAUGUAAUCUGCAACAU